GUGCUCACUUCAGCAGCAUAUAUACUAAAAUUGAAACAAUACAGAAAAGAUUAGCAUGGCUGCUGCACAAGAAUGAUAUGCAAAUUCACAAAUUGUUCCACAGUUUU
Small nuclear RNA from Bubalus bubalis (water buffalo), 107 nucleotides. NCBI's taxonomy places the organism in Eukaryota, Metazoa, Chordata, Mammalia, Artiodactyla, Bovidae. The record is from RefSeq and is a predicted model, not a curated record.